GACGAACGCUGGCGGCGUGCUUAACACAUGCAAGUCGAACGGAAAGGCCUUUUCGGAGGUACUCGAGUGGCGAACGGGUGAGUAACACGUGGGUGAUCUGCCCUGCACUCUGGGAUAAGCCUGGGAAACUGGGUCUAAUACCGGAUAGGACCGCACUUUAGUGUGUGUGGUGGAAAGUUUUUUCGGUGUAGGAUGAGCCCGCGGCCUAUCAGCUUGUUGGUGGGGUAAUGGCCUACCAAGGCGGCGACGGGUAGCCGGACUGAGAGGUUGGUCGGCCACAUUGGGCCUGAGAUCCGGCCCAGACUCCUACGGGAGGCAGCAGUGGGGAAUAUUGCACAAUGGGCGCAAGCCUGAUGCAGCGACGCCGCGUGGGGGAUGACGGCCUUCGGGUUGUAAACUCCUUUCGCCAGGGACGAAGCGUUUUGUGACGGUACCUGGAGAAGAAGCACCGGCUAACUACGUG
RNAcentral lists this ribosomal RNA (463 nucleotides) under uncultured bacterium. RNAcentral describes it as "partial 16S ribosomal RNA". It matches the Rfam family "Bacterial small subunit ribosomal RNA", at positions 28 to 507 of the family's 1533-position model. The record is from RNAcentral.